This 192-nucleotide ribosomal RNA is filed under the name uncultured Staphylococcus sp. RNAcentral describes it as "partial 16S ribosomal RNA". It matches the Rfam family "Bacterial small subunit ribosomal RNA", at positions 147 to 334 of the family's 1533-position model. The record is from RNAcentral. Lineage: Bacteria; Bacillati; Bacillota; Bacilli; Caryophanales; Staphylococcaceae.
CUUCGGGAAACCGGAGCUAAUACCGGAUAAUAUUUGAACCGCAUGGUUCAAAAGUGAAAGACGGUCUUGCUGUCACUUAUAGAUGGAUCCGCGCUGCAUUAGCUAGUUGGUAAGGUAACGGCUUACCAAGGCAACGAUGCAUAGCCGACCUGAGAGGGUGAUCGGCCACACUGGAACUGAGACACGGUCCAG